This 254-nucleotide ribosomal RNA is filed under the name uncultured bacterium. RNAcentral describes it as "partial 16S ribosomal RNA". It matches the Rfam family "Bacterial small subunit ribosomal RNA", at positions 524 to 776 of the family's 1533-position model. The record is from RNAcentral.
UACGUAGGGUGCGAGCGUUGUCCGGAAUUAUUGGGCGUAAAGAGCUCGUAGGCGGUGUGUCGCGUCGGCCGUGAAAACCUGGGGCUCAACUCUGGGCGUGCGGUCGAUACGGGCAUCACUUGAGUUCGGCAGGGGAGACUGGAAUUCCUGGUGUAGCGGUGAAAUGCGCAGAUAUCAGGAGGAACACCGGUGGCGAAGGCGGGUCUCUGGGCCGAUACUGACGCUGAGGCGCGAAAGCGUGGGGAGCAAACAGG